GCAGCAGUGGGGAAUAUUGCACAAUGGGCGAAAGCCUGAUGCAGCGACACCGCGUGAGGGAUGAAGGCCUUCGGGUUGUAAACCUCUUUCAGCAGGGAAGAAGCGAUGGGGUUCUCUUCGUCGUGACGGUACCUGCAGAAGAAGCGCCGGCUAACUACGUGCCAGCAGCCGCGGUAAUACGUAGGGCGCAAGCGUUGUCCGGAAUUAUUGGGCGUAAAGAGCUCGUAGGCGGUCUGUCGCGUCUGUUGUGAAAACUCGAGGCUCAACCUCGGGCUUGCAGUGGAUACGGGCAGACUAGAGUGCGGUAGGGGAGACUGGAAUUCCUGGUGUAGCGGUGGAAUGCGCAGAUAUCAGGAGGAACACCGAUGGCGAAGGCAGGUCUCUGGGCCGCAACUGACGCUGAGGAGCGAAAGCAUGGGGAGCGAACAGGAUUAGAUACCCUGGUAGUCCAUGCCGUAAACGUUGGGCACUAGGUGUGGGGCUCAUUCCACGAGUUCCGUGCCGCAGCUAACGCAUUAAGUGCCCCGCCUGGGGAGUACGGCCGCAAGGCUAAAACUCAAAGAAAUUGACGGGGGCCCGCACAAGCGGCGGAGCAUGCGGAUUAAUUCGAUGCAACGCGAAGAACCUUACCAAGGCUUGACAUAUACCGGAAAAGUGCAGAGAUGUGCUCCCCGC
RNAcentral lists this ribosomal RNA (675 nucleotides) under uncultured bacterium. RNAcentral describes it as "bacterial SSU rRNA". It matches the Rfam family "Bacterial small subunit ribosomal RNA", at positions 348 to 1018 of the family's 1533-position model. The record is from RNAcentral.